CUUUCAACCCUCCCUGCUCAAACUAAUCAUUAUCUAGCCAGCACUUUCUAAAAUCUCACAAUAGGGCACCUAAGAAAAUGUAGUUCUUAAAGGCCUUGGUCGGUUGGCCUCAAGUGAACCCACUGUCUCAGCCUCUCUCUCUCUCAGCCUCUCUCUCUCUCUCAGCCUCUCUCUCUCUCUCAGCCUCUCUCUCUCUCUCAGCCUCUCUCUCUCUCUCAGCCUCUCUCUCUCUCUCUCUCAGCCUCUCUCUCUCUCAGCCUCUCUCUCUCUCUCUCAGCCUCUCUCUCUCUCUCUCUCUCUCUCUCUCUCUCUCAGCCUCUCUCUCUCUCUCUCUCAGCCUCUCUCUCUCUCUCAGCCUCUCUCUCUCUCUCUCUCUCUCUCUCUCCCCCCCCCCCCCAGUGAACCCACUGUCUCAGCCCUAUCCCCACCAGCUGUAUCACAGGAUGUCACUGGGGGUGAUUAGUUGAAGCCAACAGAGAAACUCAACAGAGAAACUCUGAAACUACGGGUCACGUCCCAAAUGGUUCCCUGUAUAGUAAUCUACUACUGACUAGAACCCUAUGGGUCCUAAUCCCUAUGGGCCCUGGGCAAAAAAUAUUGUACUAUGUAGAGAAUAGGGUGCCAUAGGAGAUGGGCACUCAUCCUGUAGUGUAACAGACUUGAUGUCUUUUUAAUAUAACCUACUCAGUGGCCUGUCAUCAUCCUUGUUAACUAGAGAGAGAUCUCAGGAUUACCUCGGUAGGAGCGCUGAUCUAGGAUCAGUUUUGGCAUAUAGAUAAAACCAUAAUAAGAUUAGAAAUGGGCAGAUCCCAGAUCAGCACUCCUACUCUCAGAUGCUUUGUGGAUACGGGCCCAGGGAGCUAGAGGUUCAGAUUGGGUGGCAAUUUUAUUAUUUUAUUUUUUGGCAGCCUGGUUUCAGAAGGUGAGCUGCUACUAAUGUUAACCCUGAAAGCUUGGAUUACUCCCUCUGCCUCCCACAGAGUAGAGAGUGGGAGAGGGCGAGCGUAGAGAGGAACGAUGGAGAGGGUGAGAUAUAGGAAGGGAGAGCAAAACUAGAGUAUCUCUUCACUUUCACUACUUUCUCCAUCUGUUCUUUCAGCACAUACCACCACCACCAGUAGCCUGUUUCUCUCUUUUGUAAGGCAAGGUCUAUUAGCGCCGCCUCAGGAUUGGCUGUAGCCCAUUGGAGUUUUGAUUUGAUUUGUCACUGGUCUCUGCGUUAGACACAGUCAUUUUUGGCAGUGGGCCAUAAAAACGCUUCACUCUGGGAAUUCUAAUAUGGUGGCAGGCAGCCUCGUCUCAAGCACUUUGUUUUCAGUACCUCAAGCCUAUAUGUACAGAGAGAAUCAGACAAAUGUAAUAAAUUCAAAACAUCACCUC
This 1380-nucleotide long non-coding RNA is filed under the name Salmo salar (Atlantic salmon). RNAcentral describes it as "lncRNA (ENSSSAG00000108354.1)". The record is from RNAcentral. Lineage: Eukaryota; Metazoa; Chordata; Actinopteri; Salmoniformes; Salmonidae.